GGAGAAGGAGGUGCGGGACUCUUGAAGAGUCUGUUGUCACUGGUGUCCGUAGCUCAAGUAGGAGAGACGAAUCUGUCAGGCAAAAGAGAGCUGAAAUUUUUGUCCUAAGGAGCUUCCCUGUUCACAGGGGGACUUCUCUCACCUUUGGGAAUAGGCUGCAGGUGGAAUUGAACAACUCAAAUUCCCUCCAGACAUUAUCAUUGGUGUCACUGGAAGAAAAUUAAGGGGAGACCUAUACACAUAGGACUAUACUGAUCACCAGAAAAU
Long non-coding RNA from Bombina bombina (fire-bellied toad), 267 nucleotides. RefSeq lists it as uncharacterized. NCBI's taxonomy places the organism in Eukaryota, Metazoa, Chordata, Amphibia, Anura, Bombinatoridae. The record is from RefSeq and is a predicted model, not a curated record. The transcript has 3 exons.